RNAcentral lists this small nuclear RNA (23 nucleotides) under Arabidopsis thaliana (thale cress). RNAcentral describes it as "snRNA_03175". Lineage: Eukaryota; Viridiplantae; Streptophyta; Magnoliopsida; Brassicales; Brassicaceae. The record is from RNAcentral.
GUUUCAACAUAUCAAAUCGUUGU